This is a long non-coding RNA of Oncorhynchus kisutch (coho salmon), 1041 nucleotides long. RefSeq lists it as uncharacterized. The record is from RefSeq and is a predicted model, not a curated record. Lineage: Eukaryota; Metazoa; Chordata; Actinopteri; Salmoniformes; Salmonidae. The transcript is spliced from 3 exons.
AGGAUUCCAAUGCGGAUCAGAUAUCCCCACAGGAGUGAAACGACUUGCACUGGAGCCAGUGAGCAGGGGCUUGUGGGAAAAGGAGUACACCCAAUCGUAGUACUUACUGACAGGCACAAUGUGUUCUAUCUACUGCAAGAGAGGCCCCCUCACUGUGGCCCACAAGCAGCACACUAUGAAAAGUUCAACUGACAGCCUGGAGUGAGCCAGCCAGCAGGAGGAAUACGAAACAAGGUACUGGGACAUAUCCAGCUUGGUAGUUAGCUAGCCACAUGCGAAGGAACAGAGCUGCUUGUGGGUGCGCCGUUGCUGUGACCUUCUCCCACUCUCGUUUACGGCAGAAUUAAGUGGGGAAAGUCUCGAAAUUCUAUCAAAACCUCGGUGACAAAACUCCCUAAAGGCAGCCUGAAAAGUAGCUGAAUUUUUACCAGUAAAAGCCGCUGGAGGGGUCUGAAGACUCGCUAAAUAUAGUGACAACGUUGCUAAAUUGGCAACACUGACGACAAUGUCGCCACCCCCCCUGGAGGAUGAGAACCUGCGCCAUUGACAAACUUCAAGCUAUACUGGGUUUGCAACAAAUCAUAUCCUAUCCAACCACAGUUCAUUCUUCUAUAUCUCAGGUACACAAUUGUCUGAGUUGGUUUCUCUGGACAGCAUAUCUGACUGGCUAAAAAUCUAAUAAAUAUAUUGUUUGAGAUGUUUUUAAGAAGGAUAUUUUGUGUGCACAAAAUGUGUUUCCUGUCAAAUUCCGUAUGGGGAACACUGUAGUAAAUGUGUACUCAUGACAUAGAUGCAGAAAGUAAACAGCAUAGUGGGUAAAUUUCCACAACAACUAAGAGAGUUGAAGCGCGAGGCUCAACUUCCCUGCUGUUUUGGUUCCCUGGCGUCCAUGCUGUGAACACUGUACACUGUCAAGAAAACUUGUGCACAUGGGCCGAUACUGUGUGUGACUCACUCAUCUCAAUAUCUGCAAUGCUGCUCAUGGCAACGUCAUUUCACUGAGUCUAACUUUACUUGAAUAAAUGGCUAUCGUUUUACAGU